UGAAUUUGGGCAUCACUUUGACAUCCACUGU
Molecule: non-coding RNA, 31 nt
Filed under: Rattus norvegicus (Norway rat)
Lineage: Eukaryota; Metazoa; Chordata; Mammalia; Rodentia; Muridae
Source: RNAcentral